This is a long non-coding RNA of Papaver somniferum (opium poppy), 4100 nucleotides long. RefSeq lists it as uncharacterized. NCBI's taxonomy places the organism in Eukaryota, Viridiplantae, Streptophyta, Magnoliopsida, Ranunculales, Papaveraceae. The transcript has 13 exons. The record is from RefSeq and is a predicted model, not a curated record.
GAUCUAUACCUUCUCCCACAGCCGUGUGGUAGAGCUGCAAAGAGAGGUUCUUCUUUCACAUUCACAUUAUACUCUUCUUUGGUUCUUCACAUCUUCUCAUACAGCUACACCAGCUUGAAGGGUUGCUAGGACAUAGAGAAGUGAUGCAUCAAAUCUUGGGUUUUCCCUUCAUGCCCUCUGUUCUGUGCCUAAAGUAUUGCUGAAUCACGAAUAUGAUGAAUGAGUAAGAAGUGAUAAAUUCAAAAAUUCUAUUCGAUUUUGGAUCCUGCCGCGUAGUAAUCUCCUAUUAAUCGGUGGCUUCUGAUAACUGCAAAAUAAGGUGGGCAUUGAAUUGUUUAACACAUAUGCAUAGAUGCAUAACAUAAUGCGUGUGAGAUUCAAGUUAUGCAAAAAUCCAGGUUGAAUGCGGAAAUUACUUGAACACAGCUGAUUAUUUGCAUUAGUAGAGAACAAUUUGUACUAAUCAUGACAGAAGUUUUAGUUCACCGUGGUCGUGGGGGAAGCUUGCAUCUAAGAUGCAGAAGCGGGAUGAGGCUCUCGAAGAGCUGAAUCGGUUGAGAAAUAUUAUUGAAUCAAAGCUUUGUGUUUCAUGCUUCUAAGUUGUUUGUAUUUGUAUAUACCAACAUGCUGACAUAUAUUCUGCUAUUUUGAUACUAUUUUUUGUUAUAGCUUACUGUAGCGUCUUGGCAAUCCUGAACUCACUGAAUUACUGAGGCAGUUGGCACUUAUUUGCGAGUCACUUAGGAUUUGCUAUUGUUUUAAUGUGGGAAGGUUUUAUAUAGAUUGUUAGUUUGCACUGUGUAUUAUAUGUUGGACCUUUAUUACAGUUUACCAUUUUCCCGUCAAAGCGAAAGGACUGAGCUUGCACCACUAAUUUUGUUCACGACAUUACUGACGCCUGAUGCCGCAUUUCUAUGAGUACUACUUAUUAUGUUUAUAUUAUAUCAUGUUCCAGCUCCUUCGUUGUGAGACAGAACCAUGACAAGAAAUUAUUAGAGGUCGUCAAUAAAUAGACAAUCCAGCUACACUAAUGAAUGUCCAGCCAGAUAGACACACUAGGCAGGGAUGAAACACAUUCUUUUAUGUGCUGCUCGGGAUCAAUACUUUUCUGUUUCUGGUGAUCGUGCUAGACAAUUUGAUAGUUUGGUGAUCAUGCUAGACUAUUUGAUAGUGAGAGCACUCAGAUCAGGGAAAGUAUGACGCAAAGCACAGGUGUCUCCAUCUCCAUCUUUAGAAUGUCCGUGUAUCUGCACAAGCAACAUAUGCUAGAAUAUAGCGGCCCACUUAAUCCGGAUUGAGUUUUGACUUUAAUGGCCAGAAAGGUUUGGUUAUGUCAACAAAUAAGGGGUGAGGUGGUCGUUUUCGAUUGUUUGAUCUGAAUACGAAGUCAAUUUUCUUUUUCCACCUUCUUUUCGGUGCAUAGAGUCUAAUCUGAACGAUAGGUGUUUUAGUUCGUAUUUGAAAUUCUAAUUCGCACAUUGCGUUUCGAUGUUAUGAUGAACAACGCAGAUAAAGUCACCGGUACUGGGUCGAGGAUAAAGAUAUUUCAUGGCUACUACAAAGAUAUAAAAGAUAGUUGCAACAUCUUCCAGCAAUUUUUUUGAGCUGAAGAGAAAUUACAAGCAAAGAGAAGAUAACGAAUUGUAAAAAGACGAGAAAAACUAUCGACACCGAGCUAACAGAACUUGAAUAUGAUCAAAAUCCUGAUUAUGAACUGAAUUACGUCAUUCUUUUAAGUUACUCAUACUGGUGUUGUUGAUCUGAGGCCAGAAAAUGCAAUGAAGAUAUCGACUGAGAACAACAAGUAUUUUGCAGAAUUAUGGAAGCUCGAUGCAAAGGGGUUCCAUGGAGAACACAAUCUUUGGCUGGCAAACCUGCUGGAAUGUUCUACAGUACUGGGUCUCAAGGUGGUGGUCAGGAAAGAACUUAGAAAUGUAGGAGGAAAAGUUGAUCAUCAUAGAGCAAUGCAUUAGCUGAUAUAUAAUUUAACAGUGUUUGUAUGAAAGAUUCUACGAGUUUGUAUGAAAGGUCCAUAAAAAAACACGAGUUCGUUCAGGAUUUGAAAGAGAAUUAAGGUGUCAAUGACAACGAAUUCAGGUAAUGUUGCUGCUUGCUUUUACGCCGAUUAGUAAAUCCUUGCAAGACUACCGCAGUGAGCAUGUCAGAAUUACUCGAGGAACUACAUGCAUCCACAUGAGUUUGAAGCUCACAGCUGCUAAUUAAGGUAUUGAUGCACCGUUGAUUUACUAUUAACUAAGUGUAGAAAGAUAAUCCUACAUGGUUAGAGAUUCAGACGUGAUUGAGUAUAACCCGUACGACGAACAAAUCUCUCAAAAAUAUUAAAUCCAUUCUUAGCACUCACUCGCCUUCUGUAGUUCGACUUUGGAGACCUGCAGCUGAGUGAAACCCCAUAUAUCGAUGAUGGAAAUCGGGGCCUCCCGAACAAAAAGUGGACGUCUACAUCAUCUAGCAGAAUGUUUCAUCCAAUACAAACUUCGUCAAUUCUUAUUUUUUCUCAGAGGUAUUUUUCGUGUUUAUGUCAUCCUUUCUUUGCUUUGGUGAGCCUCUUUUUUCUUGGAAUUUAGAUUUCAGUUUUUGGGAGAUGUUGGGACCAAGUAAAAUACUUGCAAUUAAUCUGAGUGUGCUGAAAGAUAUGCCCAGUUUUUGAGAGAAUGCAUGCCUGAAGUUCACUCAGCAGCAUGUUAUUUGUUUUCCUUCCACGUGGAUAACUUGGUUAGAUUUUUGCUCCAGGAUAUUAGGUGCAUGAAAUAUUGAUCAAGGAUGUGAACCAGAUGUUGUGAACCAGGUGUGUCCUAUAUGUUAUAUAACACUUCUUAAAUCAACUAAAAUACUUAUUUUCACUACCCGACUUGAGCUCUUCAAAGAACAAAGUACUUCUUAAACUAUUGUUAGAAGCAUUUAUGUUCUUUAUAACUUUCUAAUGAAGGGUAAGGCUAUCUUCUUUUUUAUUUCACCAUUUUAAGGUAGAAGAGGCUGAUGCACAUGUGCACCAUUUAAAGUCAGUAGAUCAAUUUGAUCAUUUCUAUAUUUUCAAAGUUGCAUCAUCUACAUGUUCACAGAGUUUACUAAGUUCCGUACAUAGUAGAUGUGUAUUCUAUGUAAACAGAGGCCAUAUAAAUCUAAGUUUUGUCGAUCUCAUGGCUCCACCUUUUGGGAAUCCCUCGCUGUUUGAACUAAGCCAAGAUUUAUGUGCACAAGUAUGAAUCUGUGGCGCAGUGGUAGCGCGUCUGACUCCAUGUCAGAAGGUUGCGUGUUCGAAUCACGCCAGGUUGUGUUUACUGUCAUACUACUUUAGUUUUAUGGUAUUACAGCUUUUGGUUGAACCAUACAAGUUCGUGAUGAAUAUUCUGCAGGAUUAUUAUUUUAGGUUUCGUGAAUGUAUAUUCUCUUUGUUUGUAGGUGUCUCACAACUUCACAGAAUUAUUUUCCUAAACACUCAGAUUACCAAUGACUCCAUGGACACCAUCCACGUCUAGGUUCCGACCAAUUAACACACCAGUGCAUAUGAAUAAAUCCAACUUGCUGAAAUUACAUGAUUUAGAAUUUGUAGUGAUAGUUGGUUUCAUGACCACUAUCACCAGACCUGUUAUGAUGGAAUGUAAGUAAACCCGAAUUAUCUUUUUGAUUCCCUUUGAUGCCUCUAAACUACUAGCAGUUAUCAUUUCCUAUAGACUUGAUGGUGCUGUCACAAGGCUCUAUCUUCUUAUACGUUGUAUAAAUAACAACACGUCGUUACUCUUACCCUUCAAUCUACAGAGAGGGAACAAGAAUGAAUGAGCUGAGAAAGCCAGGGAUGGUGAGUUUUCGCAUCUUUGUAAAAGCCAAUUUGCACUUUAAAUUGGAGGAGGAGAGCAUUCUGAGACUGCAGAAUUUCAAUCUAAUUCAUUUUAAUCGGGAAACCAAAUUUGUCCUGUCAGGUUCCUUCUCUUCUUUCAUCUUCAAAUUUUACACUUCAAGAAAGUUCGCGUAUUUUCAGUUUAAGAAUCUUCCAUCCCUAUAUAUGAUUGGUAUUCUUCUUCGUCUUCAUCUUCACAGGUUUGUAUGGUUCCUCAGGACCCUAAAAUACUUGCUGAAUAUAA